UACAGAGGGUGCGAGCGUUGUCCGGAAUUAUUGGGCGUAAAGAGCUUGUAGGCGGUUUGUCGCGUCUGCUGUGAAAUUUCGGGGCUCAACCCCGAACUUGCAGUGGGUACGGGCAGACUAGAGUGUGGUAGGGGAGACUGGAAUUCCUGGUGUAGCGGUGAAAUGCGCAGAUAUCAGGAGGAACACCGAUGGCGAAGGCAGGUCUCUGGGCCAUAACUGACGCUGAGAAGCGAAAGCAUGGGGAGCGAACAGG
RNAcentral lists this ribosomal RNA (253 nucleotides) under uncultured bacterium. Its description in RNAcentral is "partial 16S ribosomal RNA". It matches the Rfam family "Bacterial small subunit ribosomal RNA", at positions 524 to 776 of the family's 1533-position model. The record is from RNAcentral.